This is a long non-coding RNA of Anolis carolinensis (green anole), 1755 nucleotides long. RefSeq lists it as uncharacterized. The transcript is spliced from 2 exons. The record is from RefSeq and is a predicted model, not a curated record. NCBI's taxonomy places the organism in Eukaryota, Metazoa, Chordata, Lepidosauria, Squamata, Anolidae.
UUGAGUAGACCAUUUCUAAGCUGAAGAGCUGGUGGGAAGGUAACGGCGCUCCAUCCAGUCAUGCUGGCCACAUGAACUUGGAGGUGUCAACGGACAACGCCGGCUCUUCGGCUUAGAAAUGGAGAUGAGCACCAACCCCCAGAGUCAGUCACGACUGGACUUAACGUCAGGGGAAAACCUUUACCUUUACUUUUAAUCAUAAAGUACAAGCAGAAAUCCCAUGGUUGUUUUUUUGCAAUAGCUACCGAACAGGGGUAGCUAGCUUCACAGAACAAACCUAUUAAUGGCUUUUCAAAAGGAAGUUCAAUGGGUUUAUCUCCAGGCCAGCAUAUUUAUUACUGCUGUGUUACUUACUACAGCAUCCUACAUUGCAAUUAUGCAUUUAUUACCCACAUUUACAAAUCAAAAACUGCUCCACAUUCAGGCAUUCUCUAAAUUCAGAAAUAUGGCAGUAUUACCAUGAUUGCAAAUGUCACCUUCCCAAAUCUACCUUAACAGAUAUCCAGAAGUGUCAAGAAGUUGGAAAGCUGUUCCACUGGCAAUUGUGCCACAACAGGAUGAUGUUGCCUACCCUCUCCUUCCAAUAAUCUGUGGUGUUACAAUCAGAAGCAGUACUCUUGAUGCACCUUGUUAUACUGAAGAUUGCCGGAGGGAGUAGUUUCCAGCUCCUUGUCUUCUGAAUCCAUGCCGAGUUUCCAGUUCCAGGAGAGCGGCGCCGAGCCGCGACUCCUGAGUAGACCUUGCCUUGUUACCACGACUUCCUUGUUCCUGAAUCGAGAUUGACUUCACUUUGUUUACCUUGCUUCUUUGACUUUGCUACGGGACUUUUCAAGCAGAUUUGCAGUGCUUGUUUUACACUAUUGUUUCAUGGACAAAUUUUUAUAUCUAAGGGAAGCUAUCGAGCUUCACUUGUGGAUUACAAAUUGGACAUUGAUGAACUCUUUCUAAAUUGCAAUAGACUAUAUAUUAUGGAUUAUUUUUUGCUUUGACUUUCCACCUUAAAUGCGCAUAGACCUAUAUAUUUACUCUGCUUCAAUAAACAGCUUGUGUUAUAUUGGCUCCUGCCUGGUUUUCGAGUGCUCGCACUGCCUUGGGGUGCAACAGAUUCCCAGGGCAAUUGUCCCCAAAUAUCUAUCAGUAUCCACAGUAGGCUAUGUUGAGUCUGUGUGGCAAGUUUGGUUCAGAUCCGUCGUUGUCUGGGUUCAGUGCUCUUUGGAUACAGGUGAACUACAACUCCCAAAAUCAAGGCCCAUUCCCACAAACCCUGCAGUAUUUUCAGUUGGUCAUGAGGCUUCUUUGUGCGAAGUUUGGUCCUGGUCCAUUGUCGGUGGGGGUCACUUUCUCUGGAUACAGGUGAAUUAUAACUCCCUUUCUCCCAAAGUAGUCCUAUAUGUUCUAUUGGUUAUGGUUACGGGGGCUCUAUGUGCCAAGUGUGGUCCUGGUCCAUCAUCGGUGGGGUUCGAUUGCAGGUGAACUAUAAAUCCCAGUACCUACGACUCCCAAAUGUCCAGGCCAAUUCCAUUUCAAACCCACCAGUAUUCAAAUCUGGGCAUAUCAGGUAUGCAUGGCAAGUUUGGUCCCGACCGAUCAUUGUUUGGGUUCAUAGCGUUCUGGGUGUAGGUGAACUAUAACUCCUCUAAAUUCCCCAGUAGGAGUCACAGUGCUCUGACUUGAUGCAGGGUGAACGACAACUUCCACCAUGUGGAAUCAAACACCCAAACUCCUCCCGUAAGUUUAGUUGCAGCUCAGUUCUGC